Molecule: long non-coding RNA, 1949 nt
Organism: Meriones unguiculatus (Mongolian gerbil)
Lineage: Eukaryota; Metazoa; Chordata; Mammalia; Rodentia; Muridae
Exons: 4
Source: RefSeq, a predicted model, not a curated record
UGAAGAAUUGCCUGAAAUGAGUUGGCCUGUGGCUAUGUGGGGCUUGUCUGUCAGACAUUGUGUUGACUGAUGACUGACGGAGGAGAGAUCUGCCCAGUCUGGGAAGCACAGUUCCUAGGAAGAGGUUUGGGGCAGUAUAAGAAAAGCAGCUGAGCGUGAGCCAGAGAGGGCCAUUAAAAAAAUGUUCCUUCACGGUUUCUGCUUCAAUCCUGCUCUGACUUCUUUGUAAGAUGAGACAAACCCAGUCCUUCCUAAGCUGCUUCUGAAUAGUGUUGUCAGUGACACUUGAACAGAGGUAGAUACUGUACUAUCGUCUAGCUCCUCCAUUUCCAGAAUCCUGCUCAAUCUGUGCGUGUUUUAUCUUCAUUUUUGUUGCUGAUUUUUGAAAUGUGCACUUCCUACAUUUUGCCUACGUUCACUUACACUGAAGGUGAACUGAUGGUCAACCCACCGGGAUGAGUGUCAGAGUUCCUUCUGUGCAGUUUGGAACAUUGCUGGAGCUGUCCCGUGAGAGAACUGCUGAGAAGGUUCGACACAAUGACUUUCAAGGAGACGGUGCCAAAGACAGAGACAGAAACAGAGUGAAAAGAAGGAAAACGUCUUCAAAGAGACAGCAUUAGGAAAGAGGGUGGCUUCAGAGUCUACUGGCAAGCACUGCUAAACACCAGGCUUGAUGUGGAAUGAAUGGUCCCAGUUGGGUGACUACUGUGGUAGCAUUGUUGUUACCUGUGGAUCAGGGAACUUCACACAAGGGUGUGGACCUCUGACGCGUCAUCCUCCUGUCAUGGAGUGCUGCACUGGGCCAUGCACUCUGUGAAGACUCCAAAACCACGAGACAAUGACAAGAUUCCCGGUGGAAGCCACUUAAAGGAAGAAGAAUUUACUUCGGCUCUCAUUCUGAAGGUUCACUGUGAAUCAGGAGGCAUGAUGGAGCUGAAACAUGCUGCUGGGACUUCUCAGGUCUCCAUGGAUCAGGAAGCAAGGAGAAUGGUGGAACUCAGCUGGCUUUUCCUUUCUUCCUUUUCAUUAGGUCUGGGCCCGCAGCUCAUAGGUGACACUCAUAUUCUGGCUGACAUUUUUCCUCAAGUAAUCCUCUCUAAAGUGCCCUCCCACACAUGCCCACAUGUGUGUCUCUUAGGGGGCUUUAAUUAGUCGUGCUUACAGGGAAGAUGAACCAUUUCAAUGACCUGGAAUACUUACUGGGGUUUGCUGGAAAUAGACUUGAUGCAGACUAGGAAUACUGGGUAAGCUCAGGGUUGGAGGGAACAGAUAAUAAUAGGGUGCAGGACUACCACAUGGCCUGGGUGAUUACAGAGCAGGGGAGCAUUGGCUUGGAGCUGGAGAUGUUAUAAAGGAGAAUAGUGGGGUACGGGCUUUGGACCAGUUGGAUUGUUGAAAGACACACUGAGGGGAAACACUUGCUAUCAGAAGGAAUCAGCUAGUCAUUGAGAGGCAGUGUCCCCUGGAAUCAGGCCCACUGUGCCAGGUUAGAGAACUAGGCAAACACAGGCCUGAUAAGCAAGCUCAUGCCAAACCUCUGCUUGCACAAUGCCUGAUAAAACACUAACGUGUUGAAAGGAGGCAAUAUGAUGGUUAAAGACGCACGACAUAGACACAGAGACAGAUUCUGUGGAAGGCUGAUAAGGUGAUAGCUGUUGGAUCCCUAAGUAGGCAUCUCUAUGGCCAGUCCCAAGGAACCUGACAAACGGGAUCUCAGGUAUCUGUGAGGCCACCUACAGGCCACCUUGUGGACCACCUGAAACCACCUGCACAUACUCUGGGUCACCUUAUAAGAGAACUCACAUUACCACCACCCUGUCUUGCUCUAACCAGAGACGGUCUCUGUGACCCCUACCCCCUUCCCUUAAUAAACCUCCCAAGUGGACUUAGUUGCGUGAUUUGAUUUGUGAACCCGCUGUGUAAUUUUGCUGCACAGUCCUAACAAUAGC